Molecule: long non-coding RNA, 2363 nt
Organism: Brienomyrus brachyistius
Lineage: Eukaryota; Metazoa; Chordata; Actinopteri; Osteoglossiformes; Mormyridae
Exons: 3
Source: RefSeq, a predicted model, not a curated record
CUGGCUACCACACGCCCAGAAAUGCCUCUGGAAUGGCAGAUAAAUGGCUGUCCCUGUGCUCCAAGCUUUGCUCUCGACUAUAUGUCUAUGUGUGUGUCAGUCUCAAAGGAAAGCAGGAUGGAUCACGAAACAGGAAGCAUUCCAACAUAUUUGUGCAAAUGUCCAGGUCAGCAGGAUUGACUUGCGCCACAUCGCACGCUUGCGUGUACGAGGCCUGCCUGCUCCGUGUGGGUGAUGGCCGGACCACAGACAUCAGACAGUCCCCUCGCCGAAGCGUCACAUGGCCCGGACUGCCAUGCUGUCAGCGACUCCUUAAACAACAGAAGCUUUGUGCGAUUUGAUGUCACCAGAUCAGUGGUGACGGCGGCGAGCGAGGCGACCAUCCCUGCUGAGCACAGACACGGACCCCAAAAACGGCAAGAGAGUCCGGCGCUUGCUUUUCACUGUAAGCUGAACCUAAAAAGAUGAGGCCUCUGCUGAUUGGACAGGGGGAUGAGAGACAAGAGGCACUGGGUUCAUUCUCAGAGGCCUCAUAUUUAUAGGCUUGUAUGAUCAGUAGAUAGUGCAGGGAUCAAGCAUGUAGAGCUGCGGGGGAUGGUUGUUGGGUCGAAUCCCAGAAUGUGGUCAGGUGCUAUAGCGAUAUAAUGGCUCCAGUGGGGUAUAAUGCUGGAUGGAUGUAACACUUUGGAAGGAAGGGAACGGCCUUUGAAGUUAACAGGCUGCGUGGGGUCCGUGCAGCCUGUGUGACCACCAGCAGGAAGCCACUUUUGGGGCCUCUUCGGUAACCCCACACCCUGCUGGUCCGUUUUCCCAGCAGAAAGCCACAUCUAGUACACAUCCCUUUCAUAUCAUCCACUUACAUGGGUAAUCUUCCCCAAAGCAGCUUCGAUUAGACACCAGUUGUGAGAAUGGUGGGGGCGCAUUGAAAUUCAUAUCCCCCCCCCCACAGCUGUCGUACUGAAGGGCACAUCAUUGUUCAUUUAUUAAAUGGGAUCUCGCUCCAAAUGGUGAUGACUUCCUCACAUGACACUAGCCCACGCAGCCAAAGUAUGUUAUGUUCUCCACAGUGUCUGCAGAAAAUCUCUUUUCUUCAUCUUCUUCAGAAGUUCGCUGUUGUAGCCCAGUGCAGAUUCUGACCACAGUUCCAGCAACAGACUCUCUUCCCAGUGGUCUAAUGGUGUGUUGGUGAUCCCAUUGCCUAAAUACCAUCACUGAUUUAUAUAGUAUUUCAAUAUUCUGUUUUCUAAUCGUGUACUGUACUUUUUAGUUGCUUCUCACGACAUCCGCUUGUUUCCUAUGUUGACUGUCUUUGCACUUUGCUUUGCGCCAUAUGUCUGUCCGUCUGUGCUUUACAAACUCACCACUGCAUGCGCGCGACUUUCCCCCUGAAAGUUUAUCUUAAUCUUAAUCGAUGUGACUGGAAACAUUUGGAUUGACUGUUAAUUGAAUUGACCGCACGCUCUCCCGUUUAACUCCACGCCUUUAAAACUCACACCCUACUGCCAUUAUUUUGUGGAUCUCAUUCAGAUUUUAAAACCAAGCUAAAAGCCUUCGUUUUGCUGAGGUAUUUAACCUUCCCAAUGCAGAAUGUGUUAUGUCUGAUUUUGUGUACUUUCUCUGUAAGCGUCUUUGAGUUCAUGUAAAAGCACUAUAUAAAUAAAAUUUAUUAUUAUUGUUAUUAUUAUUAAUUUCUCUUUUGGAACAACAUCCCGAUAUUGUAGUAUUUAAUGAACCUUGCCUGUGAACCUUGUCUAACUUAGCGACUGAUUCUCCAUUCCUCAUGAACUUCCCUGCUGUUAAGCAGCUAAGACUCGCCCAGAUCAUGGUGCAUCCCUCCCUGGAAAAUGUGCGAAGCCGCCAAGUCCUGACUGUGAAGGAGAAACACAGUUUGCUAAUUUUAUCACCUCCGAAAACACGGCAUGCUCUGCUGACGCCGAUUCCCGUUACAGUGAACGUGAUAAAUGGAAUCUCCUCUCAUCUGCAGCAUGACCUGUUGCACUACAAAGCUGAGGACCUUUUUAGUGCUGCAGCGGGUAGCGCUAGUUUGGCAGCUCGUGUGUGACUCCGUGGGUUUAGACUCUGUGCCUGUACUCAGUAGGUCUUCAGUUUGAAUCCCGUGGUCUGCAGGGUGAGUUCACUGUUGGGCUAUUGAGUGAGGCUUCUGAGCACCAAAGGAAAAAUAAUUUCCAACGCUCACUAAGCCCACAGGGGACAUUUUCAUGAAGGUUUUUGUGGGCCAAAUCAGUUUUGGAAAUUUAACAGAAGUUGUUAGUUGGAUUACAUGAGGACUGAGAGAGUUUUGGUUCCCAGUAUUGUGACAUAUGACGAGGACGCCUGACAUUGCGGUGUUAUGUUAACAGGAA